RNAcentral lists this ribosomal RNA (766 nucleotides) under Staphylococcus aureus. RNAcentral describes it as "bacterial SSU rRNA". It matches the Rfam family "Bacterial small subunit ribosomal RNA", at positions 28 to 776 of the family's 1533-position model. Lineage: Bacteria; Bacillati; Bacillota; Bacilli; Caryophanales; Staphylococcaceae. The record is from RNAcentral.
GAUGAACGCUGGCGGCGUGCCUAAUACAUGCAAGUCGAGCGAACGGACGAGAAGCUUGCUUCUCUGAUGUUAGCGGCGGACGGGUGAGUAACACGUGGAUAACCUACCUAUAAGACUGGGAUAACUUCGGGAAACCGGAGCUAAUACCGGAUAAUAUUUUGAACCGCAUGGUUCAAAAGUGAAAGACGGUCUUGCUGCCACUUAUAGAUGGAUCCGCGCUGCAUUAGCUAGUUGGUAAGGUAACGGCUUACCAAGGCAACGAUGCAUAGCCGACCUGAGAGGGUGAUCGGCCACACUGGAACUGAGACACGGUCCAGACUCCUACGGGAGGCAGCAGUAGGGAAUCUUCCGCAAUGGGCGAAAGCCUGACGGAGCAACGCCGCGUGAGUGAUGAAGGUCUUCGGAUCGUAAAACUCUGUUAUUAGGGAAGAACAUAUGUGUAAGUAACUGUGCACAUCUUGACGGUACCUAAUCAGAAAGCCACGGCUAACUACGUGCCAGCAGCCGCGGUAAUACGUAGGUGGCAAGCGUUAUCCGGAAUUAUUGGGCGUAAAGCGCGCGUAGGCGGUUUUUUAAGUCUGAUGUGAAAGCCCACGGCUCAACCGUGGAGGGUCAUUGGAAACUGGAAAACUUGAGUGCAGAAGAGGAAAGUGGAAUUCCAUGUGUAGCGGUGAAAUGCGCAGAGAUAUGGAGGAACACCAGUGGCGAAGGCGACUUUCUGGUCUGUAACUGACGCUGAUGUGCGAAAGCGUGGGGAUCAAACAGG